UAACAAUGAUUAGGACAUAAAUUCAGAAACCUAUAUUAUCUCUCCCAGGAUUCAUAGAGGCUUUUACCAUUUUCAUGAACGAACAGGGUGAGGUUUCUUCGUAA
Non-coding RNA from Hordeum vulgare subsp. vulgare (domesticated barley), 104 nucleotides. NCBI's taxonomy places the organism in Eukaryota, Viridiplantae, Streptophyta, Magnoliopsida, Poales, Poaceae. The record is from Rfam.